Molecule: ribosomal RNA, 555 nt
Filed under: uncultured Aerococcus sp.
Lineage: Bacteria; Bacillati; Bacillota; Bacilli; Lactobacillales; Aerococcaceae
Description: bacterial SSU rRNA
Rfam family: Bacterial small subunit ribosomal RNA
Source: RNAcentral
AGCAGUAGGGAAUCUUCCGCAAUGGGCGAAAGCCUGACGGAGCAAUGCCGCGUGAGUGAAGAAGGCCUUCGGGUCGUAAAACUCUGUUAUAAGAGAAGAACAAAUUGUAGAGUAACUGCUACAGUCUUGACGGUAUCUUAUCAGAAAGCCACGGCUAACUACGUGCCAGCAGCCGCGGUAAUACGUAGGUGGCAAGCGUUGUCCGGAUUUAUUGGGCGUAAAGGGAGCGCAGGUGGUUUCUUAAGUCUGAUGUGAAAGCCCACGGCUUAACCGUGGAGGGUCAUUGGAAACUGGGAAACUUGAGUACAGAAGAGGAAUGUGGAACUCCAUGUGUAGCGGUGGAAUGCGUAGAUAUAUGGAAGAACACCAGUGGCGAAGGCGACAUUCUGGUCUGUUACUGACACUGAGGCUCGAAAGCGUGGGGAGCAAACAGGAUUAGAUACCCUGGUAGUCCAUGCCGUAAACGAUGAGUGCUAGGCGUUGGAGGGUUUCCGCCCUUCAGUGCCGCAGUUAACGCAUUAAGCACUCCGCCUGGGGAGUACGACCGCAAGGUUG